CUCGGCGACCGUAGCGCGGUGGUCCCACCUGACCCCAUGCCGAACUCAGAAGUGAAACGCCGUAGCGCCGAUGGUAGUGUGGGGUCUCCCCAUGCGAGAGUAGGGAACUGCCAGGC
RNAcentral lists this ribosomal RNA (116 nucleotides) under Escherichia coli. The record is from RNAcentral. Lineage: Bacteria; Pseudomonadati; Pseudomonadota; Gammaproteobacteria; Enterobacterales; Enterobacteriaceae.